CCUUAUAGGUCUCUACCUUCCCAUCGGCAUCUAUGUUUCUUUUGUAGAUCCAUUUACCCCCAAUGAAAAUAUUUCUUCCUGUGGAUCCACUAAGAACCAUACUUGGUUCAAGUGUAUUGAGUUAAUUUCUAACUUCAUUGCAUCUAAUUAUUUCUUAAAAUUAAUGUCAGACAUUGCCUCAUCAAAAGUACUAGGAUCAUCACC
RNAcentral lists this long non-coding RNA (204 nucleotides) under Elaeis guineensis (African oil palm). RNAcentral describes it as "long non-coding RNA (EGUI_LNC067389)". Lineage: Eukaryota; Viridiplantae; Streptophyta; Magnoliopsida; Arecales; Arecaceae. The record is from RNAcentral.